Molecule: long non-coding RNA, 216 nt
Filed under: Homo sapiens (human)
Lineage: Eukaryota; Metazoa; Chordata; Mammalia; Primates; Hominidae
Description: non-protein coding lnc-GOLGA6L7-4:1
Source: RNAcentral
GUGCAAGAUGUGCUUUGUUAAACAGAUGUUUGAAGGCAGCAUGCUCGUUAAAAGUCAUCACCACUCUCUAAUCUCAAGUACCCCGGGACACAAACACUGCAGAAGGCCGUAGGGUCCUCUGCCUAGGAAAACCAGAGACCUUUCCCCGCCCCUCUCCCAGAGUGGGCGGGGACAGCAGUUCCAUGGGAGGCUUUCCUUGUGACAUCACAGGACCUU